GGGCACACGAGGCCUCCACUGCGGUUGCGCAGCCUGCCGAAGAGCGUGCGGCUUCUACUGCGGCUGCGCAAGCUCGACGCGCGCACUCUUGUCUGCUUACGAGGGCUCCUCCCUUCAGCUUUGGUCCCUCGGGGCGUCUGGGCAGCCUACGCUUUCCGGUGUGGAGAUGCUUGUAUCUGGGACCCCCUGCCAUUUCUCAGGACACCCUCCUGCUCCUAGCUGGGAGAUCCAGCAUCCUCAUGAAUGCGGGGCCCAAGGCCACCAACUGUUCCACCUGCUGUCAGCCAGGCCUGUUGCCCCAGCCCUACACCCACAGCUCACCCAGCAGGGACUGGAGUGUGCUGCUGCACUGCUGGAGCCGGUCGCCCGGGUCGGAGGUUGGGAAGAAGACAGCCGCUGGCAGGCCACUGGUUGGGGGGUCCAGCCGGAAGCCCACAGCGGUGAGGAGGGCCUGCCAGCCAGGGAUGCCGCCCACUUUGUUCUCCACACUCUGCUGGGAUGUGUACAUGGCAUUGCGCUGCCCAUUCUGGAUGCGCUGCAGGGAUUUCUCCACCUGAGGGGGAAUUGGGGUAAACACUGGGAUGCCGGAGCUCAGGCAUCCCAGACAGGAGGAAGUGUGUACUCACACCAGCCAGGAGGAAACAAGCCUGCCUGGGAGGACAGACGAUCAGCCCUGGCUGUCCCUCAGGAGCGGGGGGCCUCCAAGGCACACUGCCCACUGGGUCAAGGAGUAUCCAGGAGGAGUUAGAAGCAUGACCCAUCUGCCUGGCACCAGCACCUGGGGCUGCCAGGCAGCCACCCCUGCAGCUGUGUUGACAGGACCUGGCAGAGGGACUGACCCACCUUUGGAAAAUGACACCAGCAAUAUCAGGAUGUGUCAACUGGAUUUAUGCUAAGAAAAUAGGAUUUUUGGUGUUCCUCUGUUUCCCAAAGUUUGAGACACUUUCAGACACUCUGCUUUGCGGUUGUGGCCGAUGUUACCCAUGGGUGGGACUUUUGCUUUGCUCUAGAUUUUUGUAACACCCUGGGGAGUUUCAGGGGCCAAUGCUGAGAGAAGACCACAGGCUGACACAUCAUGAGGUAUGUUGGUAAAACAGUCCCGGCUGGCCGAGAGGCCACUGAGGGAACAGGCCCAGGGUUUGGUUUGUACUCUGUGAGUCUUGGCCUGGCAGGGUUUCCUGCAAAGCAGAGUCCUCUGAGUGGGACCCCAGGGGAAGCAGGUUGUUGCCUGGAGCUGAGGGGCAGCUCUGUAUUCAGGAGGGGUGCCUGCCUUCCCAUCUCCCCUGUGACCAGAUGUCACAGAAACAUUCUCUCUUUACUCCCUAGACCCUCUGGGCAGGUCCACUAAGAGCAUGUAUUCUAGAACAUGCAGGGCUUGAAGCUUCACAAGAUAUUCAGUGCACUCCUUACAGAUCCUGUCAAAUGUGGACCGGGUGGUGUCAUCGCACCACCAUCAUCCCCUUGUUACCCCUGAGAACACAGCUUCAGAGAGGGUAAGUAACCUAUCUCAGGCCACACAGCCAGGACAUGGAGUAGAUCCAUCCUAAGUCUUUCUACCACACACUCCUUUCUACAGUCAUGGGUUAAAUGAGGGUGCCAUGGAAUGGGUCAUCCAGUGUACACUGACAUCAGGAGGAGUUUCACAUUCAUACACUCAUGGCAAAUGGUUCUGUUGCUCCCUGGUCCAAAGAUGAUCUUAAUAGUAGGAAAAACUCAUUUGGCAGAAGCAAGACUCAGCACACAGGCUCUCUCCCUGAGUCUUCUGUGGCUGGCCUUGCCCUGCCCUCCCCUCCCCAACCCCACUGGCAGAAUAAAGUCGGGGGGCUGUGAGGACUGAGCCCCAGGCCUUGACAGGCACCCGCAGCCAGCCGAACUCCCACCUGCCCAGUUGGAGGGGUGCGAGAAGGCCUUGCUGCUCUGCACCACCUUCAUGGCCUCCCCCAGGGCGGCGCUGGCUUUCAGGCCGUUCAGCAGGGAUGAGUAGAAGGCAUGGAUGAACAUCUUAGAAGCAGCCACUGGCACAGGCCACAGAGACACGAGGACACACUGAGCGCCGGCAGCCAGGAAGGCCCUUGUCAGCGCGAUGACCCCGUCGGCUGUGACUUUGCUGUUGGACUCCUGGGAGGAGCCAAGCACCACCAGCUUCACAGGCAGCUGCAGGUCCAGGACGUCGGCGGCAGUGCCUAACUUACUGAGAAUCAUGCCUGCUGUGAUGAGCCCUUGGAAACCAUCAGGACUGGAUGGUAGGGGUCCUGAGAGGAUUGGGGGAGGAGGCCUUGAUAUGACAGAGUGGACAGAGGCCGUGGAACCCAGGACAGCCAGCCUGCUCCACAAUCCUCAUCCCCACAGACCUUCAUGUGUGGCUCCUAAAUAAGAGGAAACCCACUCCUGAUAAGUCAGGGGCUUUGAAAAGUGAUUUUGUUUAAAUGGUGCAAACAAGCAAGCCAAUCUUGGGGAGACAGGGCUAAACUUAAGUCCUUUAAGAAGCUCUACAUACUGACAAGAUUCUAGUUCCCUUCCACCUUAUAUGCUGCAAAGUAAAAAGUAUCACUGAAUGAGAAAAUCAGCAUAAAGAAGCCCAAUAAUGUCUGCCUGAGUUUCCCCUAUGAUGACUUUUGGUACUUUUUGGGAAACAUUAAGUAUGAAGUUAUUUCAAAAUAAUUUUUUGGUGCCUCUGCUUGGUGAUGCCUUAAACUCUGGGUAAGAGAAACACCAGGUGCCUGUCAGGAGAUGGCCUUUUCCAGGUUUCUGGUUAAGCUACAAACAGCUAACUGGCUGCUGUCAUCAAAAUAAAAGCUUUCUGAAGGUGGAGGCAUCUGAUACCCAGAGUGCUGCUAUCAGCCGGCACGGUGGGCCGCUGGGUGGCAGGAGCGUCGAGAAGGCCAGCUCGCUUCCUAUCUGGGAUUCAGAAUCAGCUAUGGAAACUUGAGAGACCUAGAGAAAAUAACUUCUUUCACUUUGAACUGAUUCUUUGCUUCAUAAGAAAAGUAUUAUCCAGCCACAAAAAUGGUCAAAAUUCAGAUCUACAAAAGCCUGUCAGGCAGAAACUGACCCCACUUAGGCCACGCCAAUGAGCAAGUCAUCAAAGCAGCCAAGACAGGUCCUGUGGGGGCCACCCAUGCACAGGGCCCAGCCUCGGGUCCUAACCCCGCCUAUGCUUUCCGCCACCAUAAAGAGGCCCAUCUGGGUAAGACCUGUCCCGCCUGCUGUGGGGUAUUAGGGCAGAUGGGGUCUGAGGGGUCUGAGGGCUCUGAGAGCAGCUGGCAGCUCAAGGACAUCCGGAGUUGGAGGAUGGAGCAAUGCAGGCCCUUGUGGUAAAGACAGUCCUGCAGCCGCGCAGGCAGGGAUGCUGCAAGUGGAGUGCCAGGCGGGUGCGGAGCCCUGUGGGACUGUGGAGGGGUCAGAGGGAAGCCAGGAUUUUGGGGUCUCUGAGAGUUUGGAGAAGGGGAAGAAGAUUAAAGCUUGUUUCAAAAGUUUCUAAUCAGGUGGGCAGGGCCAAGGGUGGCUGUGGGGUGAGACCCAUGACUCAGGGUGGCCCACUGUUACUCUAUUGAUUUUUGGGCGUUUUUUUCCAAAUUGAUUAUUCUUGCUGAAUGAGACCUGAGUCCUUGACUGUCCCCUUAAAGCCACCUGACUUGUUUUCAGUUCCACUGGCCUGUCGGGCUGUUUUCUACUCAACUCCACUCUUGCUUGUCUGCCCUCCCUGCCUGGGGCCCAGCCAGCAGUCAGCUCAAGGGCCAGAUGAAUUGGGUGGCUGUGCUCUGCCCACUGGGCAUCGUGUGGAUGGUGGGUGACCAGCCCCCUCAGGUGCUCAGCCAGGCCUCAAGCCUUGCUGUGUACCUCAGAGCAGCUCCGUACCCUGAUGUCACAGCAAAGAAACUUAGACAUGACACAAACUGUGGCUUCCCAAGGCAGCAAAGAAUGGCCAGGGGUCAUGAGGGCCGUGCCCCACUUUUGGACAGACCUACUCUAAAGUCACGCUACCUGCGUGCAAAUCAUAAAAUCAACACUUUUGAGGAGAUCACAGCUAUGCCUUCGUAACACAGCCCAGUCCGACCAGAUAGACGGUGCCUCGUGACCCGAAAACAAGCCCCCGGCCCCCCACCAUGUGUGUGAGCCUUACCUUGGACUGCACGCUGAGGGAGCGGAUGGAAGGGACAGCAAGGAGGCCGAAGCGCUCGUAGAGGUACUCAUUGGAGGAGCUUCCCUUCAGGAGGGCGAAAGGAAUGAGGUAGAGCUCCCCCUCCAGAACCAGGAUGAGCUGCCGGUGCCGGCCCACGGGGCCGCUGGAGUGCAUCAGGCCCUAUGGAGCAAGCACGGAGAGGCUGACAUGGGUGGCCCAGCAGGCAGGGGUUUCAGGCACCAGGACAACCCUGAGCCCUAGCCUGGAUGACACAAGCACGAGCAGAACAAGGCUAAGGGCGCGGGCAUCUUAAUGAGAGCAGCAGGCAACAAUCCUGGAAGCUGGGUCCACACAGACUGCGGUGAACAAAGAGGUGGCGUGGAAGCUGCUGCUGCAGCCCAGAGCCUGCCAAGAAGGUCCCAGGUCCACAGGGCCUGCGCAACACUGGGUGCCAGGGGUGGGGCUGGCCUGCCCCCCAACCCCAUCUGCUGAGGAGUGGCUGACAAGCGGACACCCACCAGGGUGCCACUCGCUUGUGCCUGGGGAAGCAAAUGUGCUCGCUUGACCCGUCUGAUGUGCUGCCGUGGGCACUUGACUGAGAGUGGCAGAGCACUAGGCUAACCCAAAGUGACACAUGCCUGGCGGGAUGUUCAGUCUCUGUAAACCCAUAUGGUUUUUUUU
Homo sapiens (human) is the source of this 4804-nucleotide long non-coding RNA. Ensembl annotates it as TTC28 antisense RNA 1. Its record names the gene TTC28-AS1. The record is from Ensembl. Lineage: Eukaryota; Metazoa; Chordata; Mammalia; Primates; Hominidae.